UACGGAGGGGGCUAUCGUUGUUCGGAAUUACUGGGCGUAAAGAGCGCGUAGGCGGCUUACCAAGUUGGGGGUGAAAUCCCGGAGCUCAACUCCGGAACUGCCUUCAAAACUGGUAGGCUCGAGUCCGGAAGAGGGGCGUGGAAUUCCCAGUGUAGAGGUGAAAUUCGUAGAUAUUGGGAAGAACACCGGUGGCGAAGGCGGCGCCCUGGUCCGGUACUGACGCUGAGGCGCGAAAGCGUGGGGAGAAAACAGG
This 253-nucleotide ribosomal RNA is filed under the name uncultured bacterium. Its description in RNAcentral is "partial 16S ribosomal RNA". It matches the Rfam family "Bacterial small subunit ribosomal RNA", at positions 524 to 776 of the family's 1533-position model. The record is from RNAcentral.